AUGUAAUUUUUGGAACCUUAAUCCUAACUUCUCAGAAAAGAGUAGGUGGUGGAUAGCGGUAGGACUUGGAACUAAUAGCCAACAGGUAAAACAGGCAGAGAUGUAGAGGUUUUAAUGUAAAGAAACAGGGUGAAAAGGAGGUAUUUCCCAUUUCCUGAAGGCCCUGAGCAUCGGUAAAGAGUCUGGAAUGGAAAAGGACAGUUUGGUCAAUAAUGGUGAUUCCCUGAUGUAGGUCAGAAAUGGGUCUAGGUGAUAGAAAUGUUAACGUGAACAAAAUAUACAAUAGCUGUUUGUAGACUAUUUAAUUUAACCUUAGCAUCAAGCAUGUAAUAUAGAAAGAAGUAGAAAAUAAGUCUAAAAAGGGAGGACAGGAGCCUAGAACUGCAUUCUGGAUAACUUGUGGCAUCCAUAUGGGAGAAGGACAUAUAACUCAAUAAAUCAUGUUUAAUAUAGUGAAGAUGGGGUUUCUCCAUGUUGGCCAGACUGCUCUUUAACUCCUGACCUCAGGUGAUCCACCGGCCUCUGGCUCCCAAAGUGCUGGGAUUAUGAAAUAAGUAGAAGUAAGUACAUCAGAGGCUAGAGACAGAACACUUGAAUCAAGAGUCCAAGAUGAUUUGGAGGUUUUGAGAUAGGAAAGUUUGGGGCAAAUCACUUUGAUUUUGAAUUGAGUUCGAUAGUUCCUACAUUAGGGAGCCUUGCAAAGGAAAUAGUAUCUAUUUCUGAAAGGGUUAGGUGAAACAUCAUUAUAUUUCCAUAAAAACAAACAAGCAGGAGGUCUGUUAUUUUCAAGGGAAUUGACAACUUGAGAAAUUCACAGUUCUACAUUUAAAAACAAUAAUGAUACUGUUUAAGGAUAAUGCAUAUGUGUGACACUAUACUAAGCACUCACUCACACUGUGUGAUUUAAUUUUCUCAGCAAUUAAUUAAGAACCAGCAAUGAGUUAAGAACUCCAUUACAUAAAUGUUGGGACAAAAAAGGCAAAAUAAAAACUUGACCUAUUCUAGUAUCAUCCUGUAGUUUUCAUUUAUAGCACAUUUCCAAUUGUUAAUUAUACACUUAAUUAUAUAUUUAUUUAAGUGUGCAUUCAUUUUUAAAUUAUAUGUUCUAUAAGAAGAGGGAUCGUAAAUUUAAUUUAUCUCUACAUAUCCAGAGUCUGGCUCAUUGUAGGUGCUCAGAAUAUAUGUGUUGAAUAAACUUAUGAAUAAAAGAGAUGAUGUCAGAGUUCCAGCAUCUAAAUGCAAAGACAUUCCAUACACUUGCCUCCCCCAGUGUCUCCCUUUGGGUGUUCUCGCUAGCCAGGAGUGAAAUGGUGUUCACUUAUCAACAAAACUAUCUUUGUUCUCAAGAAGGUUGAAGUUAUUACCCACCAAGGACUGCUUUGCAUCUACUUUGAGGAAUUAAGACAUCUACACCAACUAGAGAUGGCACACCAUUGUUGUUUGUGUAUAUGCUAUGUAGAUGGUUAGAUUUUAGAUCAAGCCCUGGAUUUAUUAUCUAAGGGCAGAUGUGCUUAAACACCACAUAAACCAUAAAGUGCACUUUUCAUUUUAACAUAACCCAUCACUCUUUCUUCACAUCACUCCAUUUAAUUUCUGCAAAUGUGCUCUUCCCUGCAAACAACAACAACAACGACAACAACAAAAACCACAACAGUAAUAAUGGCUAACAUGU
RNAcentral lists this long non-coding RNA (1672 nucleotides) under Pan troglodytes (chimpanzee). RNAcentral's name for it is "long non-coding RNA NONPTRT012452". Lineage: Eukaryota; Metazoa; Chordata; Mammalia; Primates; Hominidae. The record is from RNAcentral.